CACCGCGGUCAUACGAGUGUUAGCCCAAGCGGAUGACUAACGGCGUAAAGAGUGGUUAGGGAACCCCCCCCCCCCAACUAAAGUUAAACACCCACAAGGCCGUGAUACGCAUCCGAUGGAAUGAAACCCCACCACGAAAGUGACUUUACCCAGCCCGAACCCACGAUAGCUAAGAUA
This 177-nucleotide ribosomal RNA is filed under the name Diaphus dumerilii. RNAcentral's name for it is "partial 12S rRNA". The record is from RNAcentral. Lineage: Eukaryota; Metazoa; Chordata; Actinopteri; Myctophiformes; Myctophidae.